Molecule: ribosomal RNA, 355 nt
Filed under: uncultured bacterium
Lineage: Bacteria
Description: bacterial SSU rRNA
Rfam family: Bacterial small subunit ribosomal RNA
Source: RNAcentral
AGAGUUUGAUCCUGGCUCAGAUUGAACGCUGGCGGCAUGCCUUACACAUGCAAGUCGAACGGCAGCGCGGGGCAACCUGGCGGCGAGUGGCGAACGGGUGAGUAAUAUAUCGGAACGUACCCUGGAGUGGGGGAUAACGUAGCGAAAGUUACGCUAAUACCGCAUACGAUCUAAGGAUGAAAGUGGGGGAUCGCAAUACCUCAUGCUCCUGGAGCGGCCGAUAUCUGAUUAGCUAGUUGGCGGGGUAAAAGCCCACCAAGGCAACGAUCAGUAGCUGGUCUGAGAGGACGACCAGCCACACUGGAACUGAGACACGGUCCAGACUCCUACGGGAGGCAGCAGUGGGGAAUUUUGG